GUUUUUGCAGAUUAUUCUGAAACUCAAACUGGACAUGCAAGCAACAGAAGACUAUUAGUGGCAAUUCCACUUUCACAAAAAUUCUUACAUCACACUGUUGUCAUAGGCAACCUAGGCAAUUGCCAAGGCUUGGGUAAGAAAAGGUGUAAGCUAAGUGCCUCACUUAGGUCCAGCUAAGGCGACUUCACCCAGAUACUAGCCUACUAUAUUUAUUGCUUAUUUGGCUAAUCUUAUUCCUGUCAGUCAUUAAAAUCACUUCUGAAAUGCAUCAAAGAUUGAGAUAUCAAUUACAAAAAGAAGAAGAUGACUAAAAGCAGGGUUAAACAG
RNAcentral lists this unclassified non-coding RNA (327 nucleotides) under Hevea brasiliensis (rubber tree). Lineage: Eukaryota; Viridiplantae; Streptophyta; Magnoliopsida; Malpighiales; Euphorbiaceae. The record is from RNAcentral.